UGCUUUGCAGAGCUGUUGUGAGAAUUAAAUAAGAUACCCCAUUGCUUGGCACAGAAUAGGUGUGCAAUAGAUGCUAGUUUCCUUUCCUGUCGGUUUUGUAUCUAUUCUAGGAAAAUGACUUCAUCCCUGGAGAAGAAUGGCUGUUAUUCAUUAUGGGGCUGGAACAAUGACAACACGGGUCUUUGGGAAACACUGGCCUUCCCUGCAGGGCACAGGAAAUGGAACAUCAGCCUCCCUGCACGCCCAAGCCCUCUGAUUCUGAUAACAGAGGCCAGACUGGCCAAGUGAACACACCCCUGUGUAACCAGCACUCAGAUCAAGAAACAGAAUGUUCUCAGCACCCGGAAGUCCCCUCAUAUCCUCUUCUGGUCACAAUCCCCCGUAAAGGGAGCCAGGUUCCUCUUUUGUGCCCCCUAAGGGGUACAAGCACAAGCUACCUGUUAGAUUCCUGGGAGAGAGAAGGAAUACUGUGCCUUCUGACAUACCAUACCAGUGACCAACUUAUCUCAAUUUGCCCACAACUGUCCUAAUAUUAGAACUGGAAGUCUUAGUUCCUUGAAAUCCCUUAGCCCCAGGCAAACAGAGAGGACUGACUUCUCUACAAGCUGCAGCAAAGACGGAAGUCUGUCCAAGUGCAGACGCAGGCACUGAUUCUCAAGUAAGAGGGCCUCGACAUUUAAGAGCGCCUCUGAGACAGGCACUGUACAAGGCCCUGGGCACAAAGAUAAAAAGUCACAAUCAUCGCCACGGAGGAGCCACAAGCCCUGUAAACACAUCAGCGGAGCAUUUAUCUCUUAGGACCGAAAUGCGAUCACCAAUAACUUAUGUAGCCACAGUGCACAAACUACUCAUAUAGCAAGGUGCUGGAAAAUAGCCUCAGGCGGGGAGACUCCGGACAGGAAAUAGAGUGAGCAAUGUGGCGGGGUUCUAGCCCCUCCUCUGCCUGUCCUCACUCUUAGCUUUGGUUUUCUCAACCUUGAGAUUCGUCGUGUGCUUUUAGCGAGCUGAGGAAUCACUUCGGAAUGCUCAUUAAAAUACGAUUCCUGAAUCUGACCCUAGCUUUACUGAAUCGGAAAGG
This is a long non-coding RNA of Myotis daubentonii (Daubenton's bat), 1078 nucleotides long. RefSeq lists it as uncharacterized. NCBI's taxonomy places the organism in Eukaryota, Metazoa, Chordata, Mammalia, Chiroptera, Vespertilionidae. The record is from RefSeq and is a predicted model, not a curated record.